UACACGACCGUACCGCAAACCGACACUGGUGCGCGAGAUGAGUAUUCUAAGGCGCUUGAGAGAACUCAGGAGAAGGAACUCGGCAAAUUGACACCGUAACUUCGGAAGAAGGUGUGCCUUUAGUAGGUGAAGUCCCUCGCGGAUGGAGCCCAAUGAGGUUGCAAAAAAUCGGUGGCUGCGACUGUUUAUUAAAAACACAGCACUCUGCAAACACGAAAGUGGACGUAUAGGGUGUGACGCCUGCCCGGUGCUGGAAGAUUAAAUGAUGGGGUGCAAGCUCUUGAUUGAAGUCCCAGUAAACGGCGGCCGUAACAAUAACGGUCCUAAGGUAGCGAAAUUCCUUGUCGGGUAAGUUCCGACCUGCACGAAUGGCGUAACGAUGGCCACACUGUCUCCUCCUGAGACUCAGCGAAGUUGAAAUGUUUGUGAUGAUGCAAUCUCCCCGCGGAAAGACGGAAAGACCCCAUGAACCUUUACUGUAGCUUUGUAUUGGACUUUGAACAGAUCUGUGUAGGAUAGGUGGGAGGCUUUGAAGCAGGGUCGCUAGAUCUUGUGGAGCCAACGUUGAAAUACCACCCUGGUGUGUUUGAGGUUCUAACCUAGGCCCGUAAUCCGGGUUGGGGACAGUGCAUGGUAGGCAGUUUGACUGGGGCGGUCUCCUCCCAAAGUGUAACGGAGGAGUUCGAAGGUACGCUAGUUACGGUCGGACAUCGUGACGAUAGUGCAAUGGCAUAAGCGUGCUUAACUGCGAGACUGACAAGUCGAGCAGAUGCGAAAGCAGGACAUAGUGAUCCGGUGGUUCUGUAUGGAAGGGCCAUCGCUCAGCGGAUAAAAGGUACUCUGGGGAUAACAGGCUGAUACCGCCCAAGAGUCCAUAUCGACGGCGGUGUUUGGCACCUCGAUGUCGGCUCAUCUCAUCCUGGGGCUGUAGCCGGUCCCAAGGGUAUGGCUGUUCGCCAUUUAAAGAGGUACGUGAGCUGGGUUUAAAACGUCGUGAGACAGUUUGGUCCCUAUCUUCCGUGGGCGCUGCAGAUUUGAGGAAGCCUGCUCCUAGUACGAGAGGACCGGAGUGGACGCACCUCUGGUGUAUCGGUUGUCACGCCAGUGGCAUUGCCGAGUAGCUAUGUGCGGAAGAGAUAACCGCUGAAAGCAUCUAAGCGGGAAACUCGUUUCAAGAUGAGAUCUGCCGGGGCCUUGAGCCCCCUGAAGAGUCGUUCAAGACCAGGACGUUGAUAGGUCGGGUGUGGAAGCGCAGUAAUGCGUUAAGCUAACCGAUACUAAUUGCUCGUGCGGCUUGACC
RNAcentral lists this ribosomal RNA (1300 nucleotides) under metagenome. RNAcentral's name for it is "bacterial LSU rRNA". It matches the Rfam family "Bacterial large subunit ribosomal RNA", at positions 1635 to 2925 of the family's 2925-position model. The record is from RNAcentral.